CCUACGGGAGGCAGCAGUAAGGAAUAUUGGUCAAUGGGCGCAAGCCUGAACCAGCCAUGCCGCGUGCAGGAAGACGGCCCUAUGGGUUGUAAACUGCUUUUGAACAAGAGAAAACCUCGGUACGUGUACCGAGCUGAUAGUAUUGUUAGAAUAAGCAUCGGCUAACUUCGUGCCAGCAGCCGCGGUAAGACGAAGGAUGCAAGCGUUAUCCGGAUUCAUUGGGUUUAAAGGGUGCGUAGGCGGCCCGAUAAGUCAGUGGUGAAAUCUCUCAGCUUAACUGAGAAACUGCCAUUGAUACUGUCGGGCUUGAGUACAGAUGAUGUGGGCGGAAUAUGACAUGUAGUGGUGAAAUACUUAGAUAUGUCAUAGAACACCGAUUGCGAAGGCAGCUCACAAAACUGUAACUGACGCUGAGGCACGAAAGUGCGGGGAUCAAACAGGAUUAGAUACCCUGGUAGUCCGCACCGUAAACGAUGAUUACUCGUUGUUGGCAAUAUGACCGUCAGCGACCAAGCGAAAGCGAUAAGAAUCCACCUGGGGAGUACGCCGGCAACGUGAAACUCAAAGGAAUUAGACGGCGNGAGAGNGCGAGGACGACACGAGGGGAGGAGG
RNAcentral lists this ribosomal RNA (612 nucleotides) under uncultured bacterium. RNAcentral describes it as "bacterial SSU rRNA". It matches the Rfam family "Bacterial small subunit ribosomal RNA", at positions 338 to 959 of the family's 1533-position model. The record is from RNAcentral.